UGUCAAGUCAGUAUGUCUCUUAUGCCUAGGGCUACACACGUGUUACAAUGGUUAGUACAGAGGGUUGCUAAGCCGCAAGGUGGAGCCAAUCCCCCAAAACUAACCCCAGUUCGGAUUGGAGUCUGCAACUCGACUCCAUGAAGCAGGAAUCGCUAGUAAUCGUGGAUCAGAACGCCACGGUGAAUACGUUCCCGGGUCUU
Molecule: ribosomal RNA, 200 nt
Filed under: uncultured prokaryote
Description: partial 16S ribosomal RNA
Rfam family: Bacterial small subunit ribosomal RNA
Source: RNAcentral